RNAcentral lists this long non-coding RNA (1640 nucleotides) under Calidris pygmaea (Spoon-billed sandpiper). RNAcentral describes it as "lncRNA (ENSCPGG00000003667.1)". Lineage: Eukaryota; Metazoa; Chordata; Aves; Charadriiformes; Scolopacidae. The record is from RNAcentral.
AUGGAACAACUGGAUCCAAGCCGGGCUAGAACGAGGCAAGAUCCUGCUGCUUGUGAUCAAAGUGAUUUCACUUCUGAGGGCGCCAAAGGCAAUAGGAAAGGGUUCUGCUGCAGGAAUGAGAAUGUGGAGGUGCCGCUGAGUCCGCAGGAGGGAGGACCUUCCCCCCAUCCAAAAGUGUCUGGGGCUACAGGCAGAAGGACACAGGUCCUGGUGGUGGCUGUGCUGGUGGCUCUGGUCCUGGCUCUGGCCGCAGCUGUUGCUGGACUCUCAGGUAAGGGAGGAGCAGCUGCCUCCUUCCCUGCCCCACGGAGCUGUGUCCCCUGCUCCCUGCACAGCCCAAUCCGCUGCCCUUCUCCCCUUCCCUCUCCAGCAAGAACAUGCGGAGGGGAUCCAGCUGUGCCUGUGGCUCCGGUGCUGGCGUGUCCUGAUGACUGGGUCGGGUACCGCAAUGUCUGCUACUACCUCUCGAGGGACAGGGAUGAGGGGAGCUGGGAGUGGAGCCAGGAGCAGUGCUCCUCGCGUGGGGCCUCGCUGGCCGUGCUGAGGAGGGAGUGGGAAAUGGGGUUCCUCUCACGCCUCAAGGGUGACAUGGAUCCCUGGAUUGGGCUGCGGAGAUGGGGCGAGCACCUGGAGUGGGUGGACGGCAGCAGCUUCAACCAGACGUGAGUCCUGUUGGGAGCCGGGGCCGUGGGGAGACCGUCCUGUGGUGGGACGGGCAGGGUCCUGGUGGGAGGCGUCUGCUGGGGCUGUCACUUGCAGGCAGCCCUUGUCUCCUCCUGGUGCCUUGAGGGGACAACAGGGUCUCCCGUGGUCCCAAUGGUGUCUGUGCUGCUUGUUGCAGGUUUGAUGUGCAUGGCGAGGCAGAGUGUGUGUAUUUGUUCGACCAUGUUUUGGGCAGUACAGACUGCUCCCAGCUCCGGCCAUACAUCUGCAGCAAGCCCCAAGUGCCAAGGUGACAGAAGUGGUGGAGAAAGGACCUGCCCUAUGGUAAGGACUCGGAGCUUCACCUCUUCUGGUCUCCUGGGGUUUUCCUUCCCUCAUCUGCUGCUUUGGUUCCUCCUGGUCUCAGUGGAAACUCUCUGCCAUCUCUCACGAGAUCAAGCUGUGGGAAGGGGAGAUGCGGGAGGCGAUGUGUCCGUGUCUGGAUCAGGAACCUUGGGUUGUGCAAUGACUGUGGGUUUCUCCUUUUGGGACCACCCCAGAGCUCUUCUUGCUUCUCUCACAAAUCACACAAACCUUCUUUCGAGCUGUGGUGAUGGAGCUGCAGCAAAACUCCUCUGCCUCAGAGCAUGGUGGCCCACAACUUCACUCCAAUUAAAACUUACUUCUUUAGACUAAACAAUUAAUAUUCCUCCUCAAAGCCCCCUGACAGAGCCCACAGGCCCCAGGGACCCACGGCCACACUGGGGAGGGAAGGGGGUUUCCAUCGCGGCUGCCGGGGACUCAAAAUCACCGGGUUUCCACCUAAAAUAUCUCAGAACAGCGUGGCUGAGCGUGUGAAAUUGCUUCGCGGCUUCGGGGAAGGCUCCUGAAACUCUGCGAUUUCCACCUAAAAGGGCGGCGCUGGGUCCCGCCGCAAAAGAGAGAUGAGGGGCAGGUCCUGAGGGGAGUUUGAACGCAGCGCUCCGAUUGGCUGUGUC